RNAcentral lists this long non-coding RNA (3169 nucleotides) under Pogona vitticeps (central bearded dragon). Its description in RNAcentral is "lncRNA (ENSPVIG00000017813.1)". Lineage: Eukaryota; Metazoa; Chordata; Lepidosauria; Squamata; Agamidae. The record is from RNAcentral.
AGGUGAGGAUGAGGUUCUCACAGUACACAUAGAGACACAUGUACAAACAGGCAGUCCUUCAGAUUUUGAAAUGGUAAAGUCUACUCAAUCACCUCAUGAUUUGUCAUCUUGUUCUGCUGCAUGCACAGACAUUCUUCACAUUGUAAAGCCUGUCUUAAACAAGGAGCUUGUCAGAGGGGAUAAACAAUGAGCUGUUUUAUUAAGGAAAUGCAUACAAAAGGUCUCCUGUCCUUUUUCAUUUUGGCCCAACCUCCUAACCCAGCCUGGAAAGAUGCCCUAGAACCAGAAGGUAUAAUGAUGCUUGCCUUUACGUACAAUGCAUCCACUACUUUGUCUGCAGGCCACAUUGGGUUGCCUGUCCCUCUUUCACUGUGCUUUCAUGUCCCUCUAAUGUUUCCAAGCAGCCUAAAAAUGGACCCUGAAGCUUCUCCAUCUAGCACUUCAACUGAGAACCGGGCUUCCCUGAAUUUCUCUCUUUUCCACUGGGCAGGUAGGACAGAGGAGCCAACAGUCUCGGCCAGGCACGACAAACAGUUUUUCCAAAGAAAACUGGCAAAGUUUCAUGCCAGGCCACAUUUCCUCUCUAGCCACCAAUAUUUGUAAGUAAGAUCUUUUGAUCUAAUUUUAAGUUUUAACCAUGGGUGUUCUCUCAUUUUUUUUUCUGUUUGGCCUAAAUGUGUAGUGGGUUUCAUUUCAUCACUUUUGAAAGAAACAUCAUCAUACUGAGUCUGUGAUAGAAUAGGAAACAUUUUCCAAGGUAAAUAUACAAUCAAAAAAAGACAUUAGAGAAAACCCAUGAUUGGGAGAAGGAAUGUCUUAACUACUGUGUCUCAGAGACACAGACUGAGUUCCUCUCACUUCUGGGUUUAUGCAGUUUGCUUGGAUUAUGCAGCCACUGGAUGGGAAGUAAGCAAACAAUUACUUCCAGAUCUGAUUUUUCAAACAUGGAAAAUCUGCUGCCAUCAUCUCUCUUUAACACUAAUGUGUUUUUAACUUGAGUUCCAGGCUGCCCCUAACAUCUGCUUCUGUCCUCCAAAGUACCUACCAAUCUCUCAGGUUAGCUCUUGUGAAGACUAAUAAUUGUGAUUUGUUUCAUGCAUGUUGGGCAAAAAGAGGAACUGUUGUUGUUGUCAUCACACUUAGACUGGCUCAGUACAGUACACUUGAACCAAACACAGCAAAAAUUGUAACUCUUAAAUCUGAAAUCAGUUUUGAUUGCUCAACUCUUUUGUGUUUAUUAGCCUUCAAACAGUGUGUCCCAUAAGCUGUCAACUGUUAAAUACUAAUUUCCUUCGCAUGUUAUCUGUCAUGGCAGAAAAUACAAAUUGGCUAUCAAAUGCUCGUAAUAUUAAAUAUGCUGGAUCCCACCCAUGAGUUCCAAGGAAAUAUCAGUCAGUUGUUCAGUCCAUCAUACCUAUGAGUCCUCCAUUUCCACAAACUUUCAACUCCGUCUACCCAUACCUAAUCCAUUACAAAUAGUCUCAAACUACCUAUACCACUUUCACUGCUUACUAGGGAAAGGCUAGACCUGGUGUAGGCACUGUUGUAGGAAUACUGAGGAGAAAAUUUAGUUCAGAAUUGCAAAGAGAUGAAGUGGUUGUCAAAACAGUGGCCAGGUAUUUGAAACGAACUAUGAAUUUCAAGUUAAGGCUACCAGCAAGCACCAACCCAAAGUUUGUAAGGCACACAGAGGCAAGCAGGGCAGAGGAUCGCGCAAAUUAGAAAUCUGCUAGUGGGUUCCUGUCCAUACAUGGAAAUGGUCCUGUCUCAUAGAUGAGCCAUACAAGAUGUAGCUUUUGUCUCCACCAAAUUAGAGUACAUUACUUCAGCAGAAGCAUGCAGAGCAAUAUUGUGGCUGCAGAAGCUACUAAAGGAAUUUGGAAUAGAUGAAGAAAUUCCAGUUCAGAAGAUGUAAGAUAAUGAGAGCUGUGUCAAACUGUCACAAAGCCAGAACAUGAAUGCACAUACCAAACACAUUCGUGUGAGGUAACACUUGGUGCAUGACCCAGCUGAGAAAGAGGUCACCCAGAUGAUCUGUUGUCAUACUACAGACAUAAUAGCAGGCAUUCUGAUGAAGUUUGAGAACCUGUGAAUCAAAAGAAGGGACAUAAGGGUUCUUGGGUGCAAGCUUGAGAAGGCCUAUUGGAAAAAUACAACGUUGCAUGCUUCUCCUUUAAUACUGAGUGUCAGUUCCCUGUUCCCGGAUACCGCCUGUUACUAAGGGUGUGAUCCCACAGAGAAAUAGAUCGUAAUUUGGACGACUAGUGGAGUGAUCUAGUGCAAUUUAUUUCCCAGCACUCACACAACAUGUGAGAAAAUGUGCUCCAGCUUGAUCUCAAUCCAUGCCAAUGCUGGUUCUUUUUUGGUCCAUCUGUAGUGCUUCUGCUUUUGGAAGAUGGCCUGGAGCACUUCCCCAGCAGGCAGCAGGAGUGCUUUAAAAGAGAUCAUUCCUUGCAAAGCAACCCUUUCCAGUACAAUCAAGUAUGUAUGUGUCUUUGAAGCCAUCUGACUGUACACUAACUUAACUAGAGAGGGUUUUUCCCCAUGCAUUGGAGUUCUUGAGACCUCCUCUUCAUUCCUGUUUUUAAUUUGCUAGUCAUCUUUACCUUCGCCUCCGUUUUCUUCUUUCUCAAGAUAGACAUGGAGAUACAGUAUAUCUCCACACUGUAUAAUGAAAAGGACAAAAGCAUAUACUGUAAGUGAAAUUUAUUUGUUCCCUUUAAUGAAGAAGCAGUCAGACUAAUUAUUUGUCUUCUGCUGUUUGUACAGAAUGAUGUACAAACUUUAAAACAAGUUUUUAAAAAUUCAGUGCUUAAAGAAACUUUAGAAAAAUUUUAACACUGAAUUUUUUAAAGUUGCAUUUAAGUACUUACAUCAUUCUGGGAUCCCAGUUUAGGCUAAAUUACAACUCAGCUCCUACAUCAAUUAAUUAAUUAAGCCACUGGAUGGGAUGUUUUGUUCCAGCCAAAUGAUGAUGACAUCUUCACCAGCUGACCACCUUAUUACUAACCACUUUAGUUAAAAUGUUAGUGAAUACCCCAUGAUACUUGUUUAUUCAAAUUUCUAAACUACUCUGUAAGGAGGCUGGAUAGCAAAAGAUGAAAAUGAAGGGGAGUAAAAUUUCAUCACAGCAAAAUACCCAAUAAUCAGAGAGCAUGAAUAAAGAAGC